This 394-nucleotide ribosomal RNA is filed under the name Pterocystida sp. RNAcentral's name for it is "partial small subunit ribosomal RNA". It matches the Rfam family "Eukaryotic small subunit ribosomal RNA", at positions 582 to 975 of the family's 1831-position model. The record is from RNAcentral. Lineage: Eukaryota; Centroplasthelida; Pterocystida.
AUUCCAGCUCCAAUAGCGUAUAUUAAAGUUGUUGCAGUUAAAAAGCUCGUAGUCUGACCGUUGUCCUGGCAUUGAGCGUCCGUGGUUACUGAUCAUGUGUACGCGAGGUGCUGGACACUACCUUCGGAGGAGCGUUCGUGCUUUUAACUAAGUGCGUGCGGGAUUCCGAUAGUUUACUUUGAGAAAAAUAGAGUGUUCAAAGCAGGCGUUUGCCUUGAGUACAUUAGCAUGGGAUAAUGAAAUAGGACGUUGGUUCUAUUUUGAUGGUUUACGGACCGACGUAAUGAUUAAUAGGGACAGUUGGGGACAUUUAUAUUCCAUGGCUAGAGGUGAAAUUCUUGGAUUCAUGGAAGAUAAACUACUGCGAAAGCAUUUGUCAAAGAUGUUUUCAUUA